This 411-nucleotide ribosomal RNA is filed under the name Triticum aestivum (bread wheat). Its description in RNAcentral is "partial small subunit ribosomal RNA". The record is from RNAcentral. Lineage: Eukaryota; Viridiplantae; Streptophyta; Magnoliopsida; Poales; Poaceae.
CCAGAUUCCACGAAAUGGCUUGAGGCCAUGAAAUCUGAGAUGGGAUCCAUGUAUGAGAACAAAGUGUGGACUUUGGUGGACUUGCCCGAUGAUCGGCAAGCCAUAGAAAAUAAAUGGAUCUUCAAGAGUAAGACGGACGCUGAUGGUAGUGUUACUAUCUACAAAGCUCGACUUGUCGCAAAAGGUUUUCGACAAAUUCAAGGUGUUGAAUACAAUGAGAUUUUCUCAACUGUAGCGAUGCUUAAGUCUGUCCGAAUCAUGUUAGCAAUUGCCGCAUUUUAUGAUUAUGAAAUUUGCCAGAUGGAUGUCAAAACUACAGUCCUAAAUGGAUUUCUGGAAGAAGAGUUGUAUAUGAUGCAACCGGAAGGUUUUGUCGAUCCAAAGGGUGCUAACAAAGUGUGCAAGCUCCAC